Long non-coding RNA from Echinops telfairi (small Madagascar hedgehog), 225 nucleotides. RefSeq lists it as uncharacterized. The transcript has 2 exons. NCBI's taxonomy places the organism in Eukaryota, Metazoa, Chordata, Mammalia, Afrosoricida, Tenrecidae. The record is from RefSeq and is a predicted model, not a curated record.
GAGACAGUGGCAGGGCCAAGGUCAAGCCCCAGCCGACUUUCACUGAGGAUGACCACUGCGAUGACUGCUAAGAUGCUGACUGCUUUGAUGACAGAUCGAACGUCUUUUGAGAUGCUGGAUCCAGUGACUGCUGGGGUACUGGAUCCAGUGACUGCUGGGGUGCUGAAGGGUAGAUGUGUGGAUGAGACCAUGGGUGCUGAAAUAGAACAAAAGAGUUCAAAUUCA